RNAcentral lists this ribosomal RNA (432 nucleotides) under uncultured bacterium. RNAcentral's name for it is "partial 16S ribosomal RNA". It matches the Rfam family "Bacterial small subunit ribosomal RNA", at positions 29 to 507 of the family's 1533-position model. The record is from RNAcentral.
ACGAACGCUGGCGGCAUGCCUCACACAUGCAAGUCGAACGAACCCUUCGGGGUUAGUGGCGCACGGGUGCGUAACGCGUGGGAAUCUGCCCUUUGCUUCGGAAUAACUCAGGGAAACUUGUGCUAAUACCGGAUGAUGUCUUCGGACCAAAGAUUUAUCGGCAAGGGAUGAGCCCGCGUAGGAUUAGGUAGUUGGUGGGGUAAAGGCCUACCAAGCCGACGAUCCUUAGCUGGUCUGAGAGGAUGAUCAGCCACACUGGGACUGAGACACGGCCCAGACUCCUACGAGAGGCAGCAGUGGGGAAUAUUGGACAAUGGGCGCAAGCCUGAUCCAGCAAUGCCGCGUGAGUGAUGAAGGCCCUCGGGUCGUAAAGCUCUUUUACCAGGGAUGAUAAUGACAGUACCUGGAGAAUAAGCUCCGGCUAACUCCGUG